This 367-nucleotide transfer-messenger RNA is filed under the name Alteromonadaceae. RNAcentral's name for it is "Psychrosphaera sp018861025 Standard tmRNA". It matches the Rfam family "transfer-messenger RNA". Rfam says of the family: Bacterial tmRNA, also known as 10Sa RNA or SsrA, is named for its dual tRNA and mRNA-like properties. Lineage: Bacteria; Pseudomonadati; Pseudomonadota; Gammaproteobacteria; Alteromonadales. The record is from RNAcentral. RNAcentral also lists the same sequence under 3 other names.
GGGGCUGAUUCAGGAUUCGACAGGAUUGAUGAUUCCGGAGGUGCACGUCGAGGGGCGGUUUGCCUCGUAAAAAGCCGCAAAAAAUAGUCGCAAACGACGAAAACUACGCACUAGCAGCUUAAUACCCUGCUCAGAGCUCUUUUGCCCUAGCUUCCGUCCGUAAGACGGGGAACAACAAAAGAUCAAAAACCAAACGGAAUAGUGGCGAGACUCCUGCCUGAGAGGCAACCCACGAAAUUUAAAUCAGGAUAGUCGUUGAGUGGCGUGUCUGUUCGCAGCUCCUCGGUGAAUUUAAAAACUGACUAAACGUGUAGUACCAAAGGGUGACCUUUUCUGGACGGGGGUUCGACUCCCCCCAGCUCCACCA